GUAGGUGGCAAGCGUUGUCCGGAAUUAUUGGGCGUAAAGCACGCGCAGGCGGUUCUUUAAGUCUGAUGUGAAAGCCCACGGCUCAACCGUGGAGGGUCAUUGGAAACUGGAGAACUUGAGUACAGAAGAGGAAAGCGGAAUUCCACGCGUAGCGGUGAAAUGCGUAGAGAUGUGGAGGAACACCAGUGGCGAAGGCGGCUUUCUGGUCUGUAACUGACGCUGAGGCGCGAAAGCGUGGGGAGCAAACAGGGAUUAGAUACCCUGGUAGUCCACGCCGUAAACGAUGAGUGCUAAGUGUUAGGGGGUUUCCGCCCCCUUAGUGCUGCAGCUAACGCAUUAAGCACUCCGCCUGGGGAGUACGGCCGCAAGGCUG
Molecule: ribosomal RNA, 373 nt
Filed under: uncultured organism
Description: partial 16S ribosomal RNA
Rfam family: Bacterial small subunit ribosomal RNA
Source: RNAcentral